CUGGUUGUUGCUAAAUCAGGCACAAGUGCGCUCUGCCAAACUGCAUAGCUGGAAGGAAUUUUCAGAGCUGUUUGUUCAUAAGGCAGGUUCUGAAAUCAUUCCUGCAGAGACAGAAUUUGGUUCAAGAAGGGUCAGAGGAAUGUCUUCAGGAACCCUGCCCUAUCCAGCUAUAUCUGCAGAAAUUUGAUUAGCCGAUGGUGUGAUGAAUGAGAUACUACCGUUUCAACCAGUAAAUCCCUUGGUCUAAGUAGUCUCAGAUGUUUAAAACAUAUUUUCUGAAAUAUGUAUUGUGAUUCAGACUCUGUGAGGCCUUGGGCUGUGUGCUACCCAAAAUAGGAACAUACCCUUGAAGAAUUAGAAUCAGAAAGUGGAGACAAACAAAACACUUCUGACCACAAGAGGAAUCGGCAAGACCUUUUACUUUUGGCCCACAAGCAAAGUAACUUGGGAACCCGAAGGUGUGAUUAAUGCUGGGGUGGAAAGGAGGACAUUUGAGAAAGCCUUUAAGGAUGAGAAAAAGGCUCUCAGGUGAAUUUAGGAAAAAUACAGGCUCUGACACCCCGCUGCAGUCCACUGUGGUUGCCCUACCACAGGUGAGA
RNAcentral lists this long non-coding RNA (599 nucleotides) under Dasypus novemcinctus (nine-banded armadillo). RNAcentral's name for it is "lncRNA (ENSDNOG00000052890.1)". The record is from RNAcentral. Lineage: Eukaryota; Metazoa; Chordata; Mammalia; Cingulata; Dasypodidae.